Molecule: small nuclear RNA, 78 nt
Filed under: Meriones unguiculatus (Mongolian gerbil)
Lineage: Eukaryota; Metazoa; Chordata; Mammalia; Rodentia; Muridae
Source: RNAcentral
CAUGGAAUGAUACAGAAAAAAUUUGCAUGGUCCCUGCACAAGGACAGCAGGCAUAUUUUUGAAACUCAUUUAGUAAAA